AUUGAACGCUGGCGGCAGGCCUAACACAUGCAAGUCGAGCGGAUGAAGGGAGCUUGCUCCUGGAUUCAGCGGCGGACGGGUGAGUAAUGCCUAGGAAUCUGCCUGGUAGUGGGGGAUAACGUCCGGAAACGGGCGCUAAUACCGCAUACGUCCUGAGGGAGAAAGUGGGGGAUCUUCGGACCUCACGCUAUCAGAUGAGCCUAGGUCGGAUUAGCUAGUUGGUGGGGUAAAGGCCUACCAAGGCGACGAUCCGUAACUGGUCUGAGAGGAUGAUCAGUCGCACUGGAACUGAGACACGGUCCAGACUCCUACGGGAGGCAGCAGUGGGGAAUAUUGGACAAUGGGCGAAAGCCUGAUCCAGCCAGGCCGAGUGUGUGAAGAAGGUCUUCGGAUUGUAAAGCACUUUAAGUUGGGAGGAAGGGCAGUAAGUUAAUACCUUGCUGUUUUGACGUUACCAACAGAAUAAGCACCGGCUAACUUCGUG
This 484-nucleotide ribosomal RNA is filed under the name uncultured bacterium. RNAcentral's name for it is "partial 16S ribosomal RNA". It matches the Rfam family "Bacterial small subunit ribosomal RNA", at positions 30 to 507 of the family's 1533-position model. The record is from RNAcentral.